GUUAAACCAUUAGUGAUUAACAGUCCAGAAGGUGGACUGUCAUGUCCUUGGAUCCUGUUAAGUUAGUCAUGUAUAUUUAAUAUAUUGUUUACAUUAUGUGUUUGACUUUUUUCUUUGUUUGUUUUCAAAUGAGAAGUCACAGGGAAGAAAUACAUAAAGCUAUUACAAUGUUUGGAUUUUAAACUUUUUAAGACUUUUUCCAUUUGUACACGUAAUGGAGAAAAUGUGAGACAUUACCAAUAUUUAUUUUUCACAGGGGUUCCCCCUAACAUUCCCUGGUUAAUGGCUACACAGCAGAAGGAUUAACAUUUAAACAUUUUUAAUGUGAAUUUGAACGAUUUUUUAAUUAAUGCAAAUUUGAGGAUUAUUUUACAUACAGACCUAAGUCAGAUUAUUAUGGUCGGUAUCAAUUAAAAUAUUUUCUAUCUUUAGUUUUCCAACAGUUAAUCUGAGCACGAUUUUUCAAAAGGCAGUAGUAAACAUAGAUAUACUGUUUCAUAGGUGUUAUAUUGACUCACAGUAUCCAGUGUAAAAAAACAAUCCUUUCUACAGUCUCAGGAGCAACUGGCAAGGGAUCUGAAGUUAUGAACAGUGAGAUCUGGCUUUGCAUGUAUGUUCAUUAGUAUACCCAUUAACUUUAAUAUAAUUAUUUAUUCUUGCACAAAUGAGAGUUUUGGAAGAAGAAAUUACUUCGUCACAUGCUGUGGUCCAGAAAGCUUUUGCAGGAACUGCAGUCAAUGACAGACUUUACAUUUUUUCAUGUCUCCAGGAAUCUACUUAAAGCUAAAUUACAGCAAGCCUGUGAGACAUCUCCAUCUAAAUAAGACAGCUACUUAGCUGCAGAAGUUAUAUGAAAGCAGGAUGAGAUAUGAAGCAACAAAGGUACAUCGAUGGCAUUGUAACUUAAGCUGUAUACAAUGCAAAGAGCCACAGAUGUUUAACCAAGUUGUUUUCACUUUUCUUUGUAUUCAACAUUUUCUUUUAAUAACACAUUUUGUAAAACAGUUUUAAUUGAAGGUUCGUGUAUAACAUUAGAUUUUUACAUUGCUUAAUGCAUUUAUCCGCUUAAAAGAUUAACUCUUCUGGUAAUACUUAGCGUUAUUUAGUUGUACUCAGUAAUACUUAGAAUAUAAUGACUAUUGAUACGGCAUGUUUCUUCACUUAACUGCUUUGGAUUUAGCAUUAAAAAAUGUUUUCUCCAUCUUAUAGAUAAACAGCAUAUAGUGUUUAUCUACUCAUAGGUCACUUCAUGGUUUAACAUUUGAUUUAAAUGUACUUUGUUGCCUACUCUGCCUUUCUUAAAAAUAGAAAAAAUGUCUGUGUUAUGGUUUCCCCUUUUCUACCAAACGGGUAAAGGUUCAGACUAAAGGCUUGACUUGUUCUGUAUUUGUGUGAGCACUCUUUCAUUAUUUCAGUAGUUCUCCUGUCCUGGUGGAGCUUUCAUACUAACAAAGGAUGCCUCAGUUAACCAUGAGGAGUAUCCUUCAACUUUAAUCACUUAUGUUUGGAUUAUUUUUAUUUUCACUUUUUUGUUAUCUCUUUAUUUUUAUUUUGACCAACCAAUUUCAGAAGUUGCAACUCUUUCUUAUUUUUUGGAGGUCUGUUGCUGAAUAUGUAGCUCACAGUUGCACAAUUGCAGUGGAGUAAUAAAGCAGAUUGUUAAGAAGCUAAGUUUAAUUAC
Molecule: long non-coding RNA, 1681 nt
Filed under: Numida meleagris (helmeted guineafowl)
Lineage: Eukaryota; Metazoa; Chordata; Aves; Galliformes; Numididae
Description: lncRNA (ENSNMEG00000008290.1)
Source: RNAcentral